UAUGAGCCCCGAUUAAAGUGGAAAUCCUUAUUGUUUUUGUUUUUAAAAACAAUAAGAUUGUAAUGGAUAGCGGGAAAUAGC
This 81-nucleotide small RNA is filed under the name Flavobacterium micromati. Its description in RNAcentral is "Flavo-1 RNA". It matches the Rfam family "Flavo-1 RNA". Lineage: Bacteria; Pseudomonadati; Bacteroidota; Flavobacteriia; Flavobacteriales; Flavobacteriaceae. The record is from Rfam by way of RNAcentral.